GUAGAUGAACUCUUCCAAAAGGAACAGAACUACUCAGAUGAUGUAUUAUCCAACAUGGUCAGUGAACCCAGAAUCAGCUAUGGAAAUGAUGCUCUUAUGCCGUCUCUAACUGAGACCAAGACCACAGUGGAGCUUCUCCCUGUGGAUGGAGAGUUCAACGUUGAGGACCUUCAACCGUGGCAUCCAUUUGGUGUGGACUCUGUUCCAGCAAACACAGAGAACGAAGGUAAAAUUCAAACAUUUCUGGUUCUUGUGCAUGCUCACUAUUAUGUCAAUGCAUGUUCUAUCUGUUGUGUUAUGCAUGGUUUUUAUGAUACCCUAGCACCCAACCUCCAAAAUGCCAUUCUUAAAGCUUCUACUUUUACUUUCUACUUCUUGUUGGGUCCAAGCGCUUUUGUAUUUAGUUUUAUUUAUUAUAAUUAUCAGUCAUUAAGACUAGAUUAUAGGACACCGAAUUGUACAAGUCACAGUAAAUUAACGUGUAACAAAACAUGAACAUGUAAGAUAUGUUUUCAUCCAAAUGGAGUAGAGAAUUUUACUGUAAAAUCCUAAUGAUUUUAGGGAUCUGUAGUAUCGCCUGUGAGUAAGAAAAAUUAUCUAAAU
Molecule: non-coding RNA, 603 nt
Organism: Pelobates cultripes (western spadefoot toad)
Lineage: Eukaryota; Metazoa; Chordata; Amphibia; Anura; Pelobatidae
Source: the annotation of a GenBank genome assembly